This 433-nucleotide ribosomal RNA is filed under the name uncultured bacterium. RNAcentral describes it as "partial 16S ribosomal RNA". It matches the Rfam family "Bacterial small subunit ribosomal RNA", at positions 29 to 507 of the family's 1533-position model. The record is from RNAcentral.
AACGAACGCUGGCGGCAUGCCUAACACAUGCAAGUCGAACGGAUCCUUCGGGUUUAGUGGCGGACGGGUGCGUAACACGUGGGAACGUGCCCUUUGGUUCGGAACAACUCCGGGAAACUUGAGCUAAUACCGGAUGUGCCCUUCGGGGGAAAGAUUUAUCGCCAUUGGAGGGGCCCGCGUCUGAUUAGCUAGUUGGUAAGGUAAAGGCCUACCAAGGCGACGAUCAGUAGCUGGUCUGAGAGGAUGAUCAGCCACACUGGGACUGAGACACGGCCCAGACUCCUACGGGAGGCAGCAGUGGGGAAUAUUGGACAAUGGGCGAAAGCCUGAUGCAGCAAUGCCGCGUGAAUGAUGAAGGUCUUAGGGUUGUAAAGCUCUUUUACCGGGGAUGAUAAUGACGGUACCGGGAGAAUAAGCUCCGGCUAACUCCGUG